This is a small nucleolar RNA of Ornithorhynchus anatinus (platypus), 139 nucleotides long. NCBI's taxonomy places the organism in Eukaryota, Metazoa, Chordata, Mammalia, Monotremata, Ornithorhynchidae. The record is from RefSeq and is a predicted model, not a curated record.
GUCCUCUCAGGGUCACAUCUGGAGAGUUUUCCAGUACUCUACCAGUCAUGACUACAGGAAGGAGAGUCAAGCAGAGGCAUACCUAUUCCAUUCCUAGCUUGGGCAGCAACUAGUGGGUGGAAAGCAAUCUGCUACAAGU